CUUUACUAUAGCCUGGAAUUGGGUUCGGGCUUCGCUUGCGCAGAAUAGGUGGGAGACGAUGAAGAUAACCUUGUGGGGUUAUUGGAGUCAUCGGUGAGAUACCACUCUAGCGAGGCUAGAAUUCUAACUUGCUCCCGUAAUCCGGGAGAAGAACAGUUUCAGGUGGGUAGUUUGACUGGGGCGGUCGCCUCCAAAAAAGUAACGGAGGCGCACAAAGGUUCCCUCAGGCUGGAUGGAAAUCAGCCAGAGAGUGUAAAGGCACAAGGGAGCUUGACUGCGAGAGAGACAACUCAAGCAGGUAGGAAACUAGGUCUUAGUGAUCCGACGGUGCUGCGUGGAAAGGCCGUCGCUCAACGGAUAAAAGUUA
RNAcentral lists this ribosomal RNA (367 nucleotides) under uncultured organism. Its description in RNAcentral is "bacterial LSU rRNA". It matches the Rfam family "Bacterial large subunit ribosomal RNA", at positions 2099 to 2465 of the family's 2925-position model. The record is from RNAcentral.